RNAcentral lists this ribosomal RNA (1372 nucleotides) under uncultured bacterium. RNAcentral's name for it is "16S ribosomal RNA". It matches the Rfam family "Bacterial small subunit ribosomal RNA", at positions 30 to 1393 of the family's 1533-position model. The record is from RNAcentral.
UGAACGCUGGCGGUAUGCUUAACACAUGCAAGUCGAACGGAAACGAUACUAGCUUGCUAGUAGGCGUCGAGUGGCGGACGGGUGAGUAACGCGUAGGAAUCUGCCUGAUAGUGGGGGAUAGCCCGAAGAAAUUCGGAUUAAUACCGCAUAAUCUAUUCGUAGUAAAGUGGGGGACUUUCGAGCCUCACGCUAUCAGAUGAGCCUGCGUAAGAUUAGCUUGUUGGUAGGGUAAAAGCCUACCAAGGCGACGAUCUUUAGCUGGUCUGAGAGGAUGAUCAGCCACAUCGGGACUGAGACACGGUCCGAACUCCUACGGGAGGCAGCAGUGGGGAAUAUUGGACAAUGGGGGCAACCCUGAUCCAGCAAUACCGCGUGUGUGAAGAAGGCCUGAGGGUUGUAAAGCACUUUCAAUUGUGAAGAAAAGUUAGCGGUUAAUAACCGUUAGCCUUGACGUUAACUUUAGAAGAAGCACCGGCUAACUCCGUGCCAGCAGCCGCGGUAAUACGGAGGGUGCAAGCGUUAAUCGGAAUUACUGGGCGUAAAGCGUGCGUAGGCGGUUUAUUAAGUCAGAUGUGAAAGCCCCGGGCUUAACCUGGGAACUGCAUUUGAAACUGGUCAACUAGAGUAUGGUAGAGGAAAGUGGAAUUUCUGGUGUAGCGGUGAAAUGCGUAGAUAUCAGAAGGAACAUCAAUGGCGAAGGCAGCUUUCUGGACCAAUACUGACGCUGAGGUACGAAAGCGUGGGUAGCAAACAGGAUUAGAUACCCUGGUAGUCCACGCCGUAAACGAUGAUAACUAGCCGUUGGGGGGAUUUACCCUUUAGUGGCGAAGCUAACGCGUUAAGUUAUCCGCCUGGGGAGUACGGCCGCAAGGUUAAAACUCAAAGGAAUUGACGGGGACCCGCACAAGCGGUGGAGCAUGUGGUUUAAUUCGAUGCAACGCGAAGAACCUUACCUGGUCUUGACAUCCUGCGAACUUUCUAGAAAUAGAUUGGUGCCUUCGGGAACGCAGUGACAGGUGCUGCAUGGCUGUCGUCAGCUCGUGUCGUGAGAUGUUGGGUUAAGUCCCGUAACGAGCGCAACCCCUAUCCUUAUUUGCCAGCACAUCAUGGUGGGAACUAUAAGGAGACUGCCGGUGAUAAACCGGAGGAAGGCGGGGACGACGUCAAGUCAUCAUGGCCCUUACGACCAGGGCUACACACGUGCUACAAUGGGAAGGACAAAGAGCCGCGAAGCCGCGAGGUGUAGCUAAUCUCAUAAACCUUUUCGUAGUCCGGAUUGGAGUCUGCAACUCGACUCCAUGAAGUCGGAAUCGCUAGUAAUCGUAGAUCAGAAUGCUACGGUGAAUACGUUCCCGGGUCUUGUACUCACCGC